AGCUAAGAUGCGAUUUUUUCAUUUCAUUGUCUUUUUUUUUCCAUAUAAUUCCAUUUUGUCUUUGUUAAUAAGUAUAGCCUUACUACGAUAUCAUACUAUUGCAGGCAGUGUGGAUAGUAGUCUCCUGUUAAAGCUUCCUUUCAGCACUAUAUUUGAGUAUCUUCAGAUGUUGCAAAUAAUUUUAAAGCCAAUGAAGGAUAUUGGCCCACGUGCAAUGUUCUAUCUGGUUGUUGCAGUAUCUGACUUUUAUAUUCCUUGGAAGGACAUGGUAUAAAAUUGACAUGAUAGUUCUUUCCAUGAAAGUUUCAUCCCUUAUUAACAUCAAUUUUGGCUUGAAUGAUUUUGUAAUAUGUUAAGAUACAAGAAUAUUAACCAUGUCAAUUUCAACAUUUGUGCUAGAGUUAGUUAUUAUUUAGAGAAUUAGCAUAUAGAUAACACUACAUAACUUAAUUAGUCCUGCUUAGAUUGUGAAAACUGAAAAGUAUAAGCAGAAAAAUAUUUAUUGUAUUUUGAAAAAUGGUGAUGAUAUAAGUACAAGUAGUUAUGACCUAGACUAGUGUGUAUGUUAUCUUGCAAUGAUGAUAUAAUGUGAUUGUGGAUCUUAGUAAUU
Arachis ipaensis is the source of this 610-nucleotide non-coding RNA. The record is from RefSeq and is a predicted model, not a curated record. NCBI's taxonomy places the organism in Eukaryota, Viridiplantae, Streptophyta, Magnoliopsida, Fabales, Fabaceae.